RNAcentral lists this long non-coding RNA (350 nucleotides) under Citrus sinensis (sweet orange). RNAcentral's name for it is "long non-coding RNA (CSIN_LNC002244)". Lineage: Eukaryota; Viridiplantae; Streptophyta; Magnoliopsida; Sapindales; Rutaceae. The record is from RNAcentral.
AAUUUAAGCAAAAUUAUUAUAAAAAAUUAAAUGAUGAUAAAGUUUUAUAAUUACCAUUAAUUAAAAAAAAGUUUUACAUUGUCAUUGUUUUUACACUAUAAUUAAGAUAUAUAUUACAACACAUGAUAUAAACAAAAUAAUUAUAAAAAAUUAUAUGGUAUACAUUAUGCAUUACGUGUGUAAUCGUGCCACAUAGAAGCUGCAAUCCCAUCUCUUAUAGCAUUCAUCUCUGCGACACUCGCUGGACAUAAAUCAAUAUUAGUAAGUGGCCUACUAGUAUCUCCUUCUUCGUUGGUAACCAAAUCUUGCUAUCCUCACCAUCAACAUCAUGUGGAUCCAUAUCUUGUUAC